Molecule: non-coding RNA, 102 nt
Filed under: Actinomycetota bacterium
Lineage: Bacteria; Bacillati; Actinomycetota
Source: RNAcentral
GGGAAUCCGGUGCGAAUCCGGAACUGUCCCGCAACGGUGUACUCGCGUGUGUCCACAGCUGUCUCCGCAGCCGUGUCCGUACGCCUGUUCAGUCCGAGGACC